CCUACGUGUGGCUGCAGUGGGGAAUAUUGGACAAUGGGCGAAAGCCUUAUCCAGCACUGCCGCGUGAGUGAUGAAGGCCUUAGGGUUGUAAAGCUCUUUUACCAGGGAUGAUAAUGACAGUCCCUGGAGAAUAAGCUCCGGCUAAAUCCGUGCCCGCAGCCGCGGUAAUACGGAGGGAGCUAGCGUUGUUCGGAAUUACUGGGCGUAAAUCGCACGUAGGCGGUUUUUCAAGUCAGGGGUGAAAGCCCGGAGCUCAACUCCGGAAUUGCCCUUGAAACUGGAUGACUAGAAUCUUGGAGAGGUCAGUGGAAUUCCGAGUGUAGAGGUGAAAUUCGUAGAUAUUCGGAAGAACACCAGUGGCGAAGGCGACUGACUGGACAAGUAUUGACGCUGAGGUGCGAAAGCGUGGGGAGCAAACAGGAUUAGAUACCCCUGUAGUC
This 440-nucleotide ribosomal RNA is filed under the name uncultured bacterium. RNAcentral's name for it is "partial 16S ribosomal RNA". It matches the Rfam family "Bacterial small subunit ribosomal RNA", at positions 338 to 795 of the family's 1533-position model. The record is from RNAcentral.